RNAcentral lists this ribosomal RNA (402 nucleotides) under uncultured Coprococcus sp. RNAcentral's name for it is "bacterial SSU rRNA". It matches the Rfam family "Bacterial small subunit ribosomal RNA", at positions 355 to 774 of the family's 1533-position model. The record is from RNAcentral. Lineage: Bacteria; Bacillati; Bacillota; Clostridia; Lachnospirales; Lachnospiraceae.
UGGGGAAUAUUGCACAAUGGGGGAAACCCUGAUGCAGCGACGCCGCGUGAGUGAAGAAGUAUUUCGGUAUGUAAAGCUCUAUCAGCAGGGAAGAAAUUGACGGUACCUGACUAAGAAGCCCCGGCUAACUACGUGCCAGCAGCCGCGGUAAUACGUAGGGGGCAAGCGUUAUCCGGAUUUACUGGGUGUAAAGGGAGCGUAGGUGGUUUGGUAAGUCAGAUGUGAAAGCCCGGGGCUCAACCCCGGGACUGCAUUUGAAACUAUCAGACUAGAGUGUAGGAGAGGUAAGUGGAAUUCCUAGUGUAGCGGUGAAAUGCGUAGAUAUUAGGAGGAACACCAGUGGCGAAGGCGGCUUACUGGACUAUAACUGACACUGAGGCUCGAAAGCGUGGGGAGCAAACA